GUUGCCUACGGGACGCAGCAGUAGGGAAUAUUGCUCAAUGGGGGAAACCCUGAAGCAGCAACGCCGCGUGGAAGAUGAAGGUUUUAGGAUUGUAAACUCCUUUUGUGAGAGAAGAUAAUGACGGUAUCUCACGAAUAAGCACCGGCUAACUCCGUGUCAGCAGCCGCGGUAAUACGGAGGAUGCGAGCGUUAUCCGGAUUUAUUGGGUUUAAAGGGUGCGCAGGCGGUCUGUUAAGUCAGCGGUCAAAGCCCGGGGCUCAACCCCGGCCCGCCGUUGAAACUGGCAGUCUCGAGUUGGAGAGAAG
This 305-nucleotide ribosomal RNA is filed under the name uncultured bacterium. RNAcentral describes it as "bacterial SSU rRNA". It matches the Rfam family "Bacterial small subunit ribosomal RNA", at positions 334 to 657 of the family's 1533-position model. The record is from RNAcentral.